CCUACCCCACCAAAAGCCCUGCGGGGAAGCUCUCAGGCAAGCAGGCGCUGGCUCGGGAAGGCGCAGUCAGCAUCCUUCUCUCCCAGCCCAAGUGAGAGGAUCGCCUCCACCUCGGAGCUAGAGCUCCCGGGUCUUUAACAUUCUAGGCUUUUCCUUACGAAGUAGAAAGGUCCAUGCUGGCCUUACCUCUGGGGCUGCUUUCCUUCUCAGAAUAACGUUUCCCAGAGGGCAAAGGCAGAUGCUGCCAAAGCCUCAGGAGUCCCAAGUUCUGGAACAGGUACAAGGUUACUUCUCUCACUUUCUAUUGGUUGGAGCAAGUCGUAAGGCCAGCCCACAUUCAGAGCCCAGCUGAGGACAGAGUGAGGAGGCAGCCAUCUGCAAGCUGGAAAGAGAGUCCUCACCAGAAAUUGAGCCCUAUUGGACCUUGAUCUUGGACUUCCAUCUUUCAGAACUGUGAGAAAAUAAAAGUCUGCUGUUUAAACCAAGCAGUUUGUAGCAUUUUCUUAUGGCCACUCCAACGGACUAAGAUAAUCUGCAAAGAAUAAGA
This is a long non-coding RNA of Mustela lutreola (European mink), 547 nucleotides long. RefSeq lists it as uncharacterized. The record is from RefSeq and is a predicted model, not a curated record. The transcript has 3 exons. NCBI's taxonomy places the organism in Eukaryota, Metazoa, Chordata, Mammalia, Carnivora, Mustelidae.